UACGUAGGGAGCGAGCGUUGUCCGGAAUUACUGGGUGUAAAGGGAGCGUAGGCGGGCGAGAGAGUUGAAUGUUAAAUCUACCGGCUUAACUGGUAGCUGCGUUCAAAACUUCUUGUCUUGAGUGAAGUAGAGGCAGGCGGAAUUCCUAGUGUAGCGGUGAAAUGCGUAGAUAUUAGGAGGAACACCAGAGGCGAAGGCAGCCUGCUGGGCUUUAACUGACGCUGAGGCUCGAAAGCGUGGGGAGCAAACAGG
RNAcentral lists this ribosomal RNA (252 nucleotides) under uncultured bacterium. RNAcentral describes it as "partial 16S ribosomal RNA". It matches the Rfam family "Bacterial small subunit ribosomal RNA", at positions 524 to 776 of the family's 1533-position model. The record is from RNAcentral.